Molecule: RNA transcript, 10047 nt
Organism: Mus musculus (house mouse)
Lineage: Eukaryota; Metazoa; Chordata; Mammalia; Rodentia; Muridae
Gene: Cep44
Gene name: centrosomal protein 44
Exons: 10
Source: RefSeq, marked provisional
GAGAUUUAAAUUUUAUUAAAUUUUAAGCAAUUAUUAAAGAAAAUUCACAUAUUGGGUUUUUUUUUUUUAAAGAGAGCUUUUCUCAAACAGACCAUAACAACUUCAUGUUUCACUAUUUUAGGUCUUAAAAUCUUCAGGUGUCAUGAAGUGGUAUUAACGGAGAAAGACUGUGAGAGUCUGAGAGAAAACACUUUCAGUGAGGCAAUCAGAAUCAGAUUGGCAGCAAUAAUUUAUGUCUGGACACCGCAAAAAUAGACAAAUAGACCACCAAAGUUGUUUAGAGUAGACCGGUAACAUUUUUUUUUUUUUUAAAGAAACACCUGAUAACCAAGCACAGUCCUAAAAUUUAGAGUCCACAGUUCAGAGAAAUGAAGGAAGGUCAGUCCACAAGGUGGUCUUUCUAAAGAGAAAAGGGAAACAGCUAAGCACUAAGAGGUCACAAGGCACAUGAAACACAUAAAAGCCCCACUCAUUAAACUUAGAGAUCUGGCCCUGAAAGAGCAGGCUUUUUUUGUUUUUUACUAAAAGGCAUACCAUUUGUGGGUCGCUUUAAUCCAAAAAGAUUUACAAUAUUGCCUUGUUUUCUAAAGGUUGCCGCUACCCUCACCCCCACCUCUAAUUUCUUCCUAUAAAUGCUAGCUAGCAAAAUAGCAUUUAAAUGUAUGUAAGAACAUGAAAACAUGUUAUGCAAACAUAACCACAAGUCUGAGAAGUUUAGGUUUAUUCAACUUCUUCAGUUUGCUUUGACCCAAACAUGAUGUUGUUUUAACUUGUACAUACAUUUACUGUGUCAUAUUGCUCACAGAUACCAGUUUCAAAAACUCAGUUCUCCUUUGACAGAAUUACUAUUUACCCUGCACGGCUGUAUCAGCACCCAGGACGAUGGCACAUUCUUGCCUACCUCUCAACGCACAUCACCUAAAGUAUUAAAACAAAACACUGAGGGUGAUCUGAGCUAGGGAGAGAGUCAGAAAUAACAUGAUUUUAUCUAGGCUUCUUCCAUAACAAGUUGUGAGAACCAGGCAAGUCUCUUAAAACCUUGAAGUCUCAGUUUUCUCACGGUAUUUGGUUAAAAUAAGGGUUCUGAGCUUGAUACCCCAAAUCUCUUUCAGCUAUACAUGUUUUUUGUUUGUUUGUUUCCUGCAAUUAAUAAAGAAAUGUAAGACAUCCAAGUAGGGAACAAAAAGUAAAACCAUCUCAGUUAGCAGAUAUAACCUUACAUGUAGAAAGCACUAAAGAUCCUGCAAAACCAAAGUAAAACAGAACUGAAAUACACACACACACAAAAGCCACACACACGUUAAAGAUUCUCUUUCAAUACUGACUGAUUGGAACUUUGUGCUUUUGGACAGCUGGAAUGUAGAUAUUCAGAAUCAAAUUAUCUUGAACUAUUUUUAAUCCCCAGUAGCCAUCCAUUGCUCACUGUGUCUGACCUAACACCCUUAUGACUGUCACAUGAAGCUUUUUGGGGUGUAUUAACUUAAUAGAGCAACAAACUUCACCAACCAAAAUGCUAAGCAUGUAUCAGAUAACAUCUGAAACCUGUGGCAGAGAUUUUCCUGGAUUAUUACAGCCCACCUUCCUCAUAUUUCUAUCCUGUAUUUGAAAAGGGCCUUGAUCCAGACUUUCUUUUGUUCUGUGGUUAUAAAAACGUCAAAAAAAUGUUAAGGUUGGAACACAGUAGUUGGAAUAACCUGAAGCCAUGUUCUCAGAUAUGGAGUCAUGUUUAGCUCCAGAAUAACUAUCUUUUAUCCUCUUUGAAGUGAGAGCUGUGUUUUUCUGUCAAAAACAAAAUAAAACACCGUAUAAUUAACAAAUGAAUUCAGGAAAAAGACAGUAGGCUAGGUCAACAGAAAAGAUUGGUUGUAUUUCUAUAUACUAAUGAACAAUCUGAACAGGAAAUUAAGAAGAUAAUUUCAUCUGCAAGAAUACAAUAUUUAGGAAUUAAUUUAAUCAGUCAGGUGGGACUUGUACAGUGAAAGGUACAAGCACUGCUGCUGGAAGUGAGAGGGGAAAUAUAGAAAUACAUUCCUACCCAUGAACCGGAAAACUCAAUAUUGCUAACAUUUCAACACUACAUAAAGACAAUAUACAUGAUACUGCUUAUGUGAAAUAUUUAGUGUAGACAAAUCGUAGACAUAGGAUAGGAUGUCAGGACCUGGUGAAGGGAAUAAGGAAGGGGUGGUUGAUGGACAUACACUUUUAGCUGUAUAAAUGUAAGUAAUUAUGGAGGUAGAUAGUGGAAAUAGUCACUAGCCACUAUAAGUCACAAGCCACUAUAAAUAUAUUGCAUAUCAUUGACCGGUACAUUUUAAACUGAAUAUACUGAUAAAUUUUAUUUUGUGUGCAUUGCUUUACCACAAUUGAAAACUUGAAAGACAAUUCCAUGAUUGCGUAAAAACAAAAGAGGAAAAUUACCAUAACUUGAAUACCAUGGAAAGAUGGUAAAAGUGGUGAGUUUAUUUAGUAUCCGAGGUUCUUCUCACUUGUUUCUCCACCCCCACCACAUCUAUAAAUAACUAAGAAGUAUGGGCAGAAAGGCUAAGUGUGGUUUACUUCUUAAAGCUGGUUUCUUCAUUUAAAUGUUUAAACAAUCCUAUAUGCACUCUAUUCUGGAAGAACGUGUAAAUGGAUAAUUCUAGAACUAAGCACCUUAAAUUCAUUGCUCAAACUUGAACUGUAUAUCUGUUUUGUGCCAAUAAAGUUGGAUAACAUUUUGCAAAUAAAUAAGGAUUCCAGUACCUGUCAAACAUGGGAAGAAGCACGGACAAUUUUAUACUGAGGCAUAGCCGAAAUAGUGCCAUAACAAACAUGAAGCGAGAAUCUUUUGCUCCCACUAAGCUUUUAAAGCUAGUCGGCAAAAGCUGUACUGGUGACGUGCAGUCCAGUGUGUAGAAUGAAGCUGGUGCUUGUGGUGCAGGACAAUCAAGGGGCUUAGAAAGGGAAGAGACUUGCAAAUCUGUACUUGCUAAGAACCAAUGAGAAUCAAAACAGUCUUGACUUUCUUGUGAAGCAUGGGUAGUAAAGGUUAUUGUUCUUUUUUAAACCUAGGUCUUUAUAUAAUAUACAAUAAACCAACAUAUCUUAUUGACUAACAGAAUGCUGACUAGAUAAAAACAAGUAGAUCUAAAACAGGUUUAUUUACUUUUUAAAAACCUUUAAAUACUAUAACUUUCAAGGCCAUCAAAAUUUUAUGUAUUGCUAUUGUUGACACACUUUAAUGUAAUUCUAUCUUGAAAAGCCCAAGAUCAUACUUGGGGUGUGUACCCUUGUUUUAUUAAUUCCCUCUCUCUCCCUUAUCAAUGUCCCUACUAAAACUGUAUUAAAUUUAUUUUUAAUAAACCUUGCUUUAUAAGUCUCAUCCUAAGUUUCGCUGCUGCUGCUGGUUUGCAGCAAGGUAAAAUAUUCUGGCUUCAGCUGAGUAGAGGUCUCUAAGGAGUACACCUUGGACUGAUAUACACAACAACAUGGAGUAUAGCCUAUUCUGUAACCCACUACCACUCACACUUGCCAUGUAAAUCCUUUUUUAAAAAAAUCAAAGCACAUUUCCAAAGCACACUUUUCCCACCCCUAUUUGAUCAUAUGGGUUUAACAGAAAUUUUCCACUGAUCUGCAUUUUAUCUAUAACCAGCCCUAGCCUUUUCCUAACUGCUUUCCUUCUCAAAAGCUAUCUUCCAUACAUUUAUUUUGACCCAAUUUCAGCUAUGUAAAAGGGUAAAAGAUAACCUCAAACACUCUUUUCAGAUUCUCUACCCUUCAGGCAAUAUUAAAUAAUAUUCUUUAGGAUAAUUAAUAUAAAAUAUUUCUAAAUUAUUUUUCUGGAGGAGCUGAUACUAGUAUAAUUCACAUGUUACUUCAAAAUCAGGCUUUUUUUUUUCCUUGUCAGAAUUAAAUUCUUUUGGACAUACUUUGGCUAAGAUAUUCUUAUGUAGUGAUUACUUUUAACUGCUAAAAGUUAUCAGGCACGGAAUUUGUUCCAGGUGCCUCUAAAAUGGCUUCCAUCGAUUUUGCCUCCUGUGUUAUCUAUCCUCUGCCUCUCUAAUGUGGGUUGGGUUAAAGACUCUUAACAAACACACUAUGAUAGCAGUGAUAGGAUAUCACUUCUAAGAUUAGAUUAUAAAAUAUAGUUAUCUUCCCUCAGUUGGAUGCUUUCUCCCAGCUUGUCUGUUGUAGGGGAAAUCAACAGCCAUACUAUACUCUAAGGGGGUUUUCUGAAGAAAACCCACUUAGCGGAGAAUCUAGGGCAGCUGGCAACUAUGUGCAUGCACUUGGAAGUGCACCCUUAGUCCAUCUCAGUGCAGUCUCUCAAUAGUAUCACAAGUCCCAAACACAGCCUAACUACGACCUCAAGAAACAAGCUGAACUACUCUGUUGAACGUUGCCCUGAUACUUGACUCAAAGAAACCAAGAUAGUACAUGUUUGUUGUUUUAAGCUGCAUUAAAUUUGGGGAUAAUCAUAAACCAGCAAUAUGAAACUAAUGACGAUACUUAGGUAAUUGUUAAUUUAGAAAAACUGUAUAAGCAAGAAGUUUCUGAAUUAACCUGAAAAUAAUAAAUUUAUUUAUUGUUCAUUCUGAGACCUGCUCUACAUUGUAAAAACAAAACAAAAACAAAAACAACAACAACAACAACAAAAACCUUUCACAAAGGUAGCCGGAAGCUCUUCUCGUCGGAGUGAAAGUGCCAAAGUCCAAAGAACCAAAGCAAAGAGAAGAGUACUUAGUGACCUGUUGCAAAACCAUACUUCCAAGCCUUUGGAAGGCCAAGAAAAAGGAUUGCUAGCUAGGGACAGUCGGGGCUACACAGUGAAUUCUGAGCCAGCCUGGAGUACACAGGAGACCUUGUCUCAAAAUACAAACAAAAACGGAGUGCAAACACUGACAUGAACAACAGUUUGUAUUCAAUUGCAGUAUUGAGGGUAAUGAAGAGAAUAUGGCGCGCGCGCGGGGUGGGGGUCUUUACAAAUAAAUGUCUCAUUUAUAAAUUAAGUAGUCACAAUUAUUAAUUAGUAAAUACAGAACGAAAAAUAAACCAGAAAUAUAUCGAGUAAGAAUUGCAAACUUCUAUGGUUUUUGUCUAGACAAUGUGUACUGAGUAAUACGAUGUGGAAAGUGGAGCGUAGCCACAGAAAAACAAAACGAAAAGGAAAGUGUUGAACCAAUUUUACAGUCUGUUUGGAGACUGUAGCAACUAGCAAUCAGCGGAGGUCUUAAACUGGAUAUGUUUGAAUUCGUAUUAAGGGGACGCCGUAAGAAAUGAAGCGUGCCUUGGCAUCGAACGACGCUGUAACCACCACAAAAGCAAUACGUGAAACUGAAGAAAGUAACCUCCACCGUUUGUCAUCUUUCAAGAGGGACGACACCACGUCGCUACCGCGAGUCCCAAAUCGACCUCUAUACCAAUGGCCUAGAAACAGAAGAGACUCACACCCGCCUCUCGAUUCUGAUACACCAUUUUAAUAAGCCACCGCUGCUGUCACUCAAAAUGUCUCACAGUACCCAUUGGUCCUAAACUGUUGCUUGCUGGGCCAGGGCUAUCAAGUGGCAAGCAUCCCUACCCCUCACUUCGGAGGAGAAAAGUGAGAGCGUCCGGGCGGGCGGAAGAAGCAAGGCAUUGGAAGCCUCUGUGCCGACGCGAGUACCUGAGCGACCUGGGAUCUCCACCGCCGCCGCGACGACUCGGCCUGUGGGCGGGGGCUGUCAGCCGAGAAGAAAAUGGCUCAGCCGGGAACUGGUGCCCAAGCCAUGGAGAGGCCUGUCCAGAGCGCACGUGUUCGCGCUGGAGAACACGAUGGCUGCGAGGGAACCAGAAGCCGCCCCAGACUCCCGCGAAGUCACAGCACCUCUGCCUGCAGAAGCCCGAGUGGCGGACCUUGCAAGGUUUUGACGUUUCCUAUUGUUGCCGGAAGUGACGUCGAGGAGCGGCUCCUUAAAGGAAAAAGAUUUCCGUUUUCCUCAUUCAGAUUCGCCAAAAAGUCUUUACUUUUCCGCUUCUCAUUCUGAACUGCUUUGGCCAUCAAAAUUAUGCUAAUUUGAAAUGUGACAUUCAAUAAAAGACAUGUAAUUGAUAAGACUUUAACGACAGUAGAGUAUCCUGAAGAAGCUGCGCGAACGGAGUGUGGAAUCUGCAUCUAGGAAUGCCAGCAUUUGGGGCAGCCUCUGGCUCGGAAUGUUUAGCCGCUGUUCGAACUCUCGGCUCGAACUCUGAGUUCUAAAAACAAACCGUCGGCACGAGGGGCGACCCGAGGCGCGGGCGUAAGGCUCUGGGGCUGCAGACCCGGUUCCCGCCACGUUCUCGGGUUUCUAGUGCUCCCUUCUUCUUUCUGUGUUGGUACGGUAGCCUUGGGAACCUUUCAGUUUGCUUAGGGGCUGCUGGCUGAGCCAGAGCUCGUGGACCUGCUGUGCUCUGGCUUGGACGAAGGUGGCCCUUCUGCUGUCCUCACCGAGGUUCCUGGGUUGUAGGCGAAUGAUCAGAUGAGAGGCUGUAAGAUUAUUUGAGAGUUGGAGCUGAAUCGGAAUAUAAUGGCAACAGGUGACUUAAAGAGAAGCUUGCGGAAGCUAGAACAAGUGCUUCGGUCACUGAAUUACCCCAAUGAGGUGGAUUAUGUCGGCCUGAUAAAGGGAGACACAGCAGCAUCCUUGCCCAUCAUCAGCUACUCUCUCACCUCAUACUCGCCUUACGUAGCCGAACUCCUAAUGGAAUCCAGUAUAGAGCUCAUAGCGAAGAACGACGUGCGCUUUACAGAUACUGUCUACAAGCUUCUUCGUGAUCAAUUUGAUUAUAAACCAAUUUUGACAAAAAAGCAAUUUAUACAGUCUGGAUUUGCUGAAUGGAAAAUUGAAAUUGUCUGUGAUAUAUUGAAUUGUGUGAUGAAAAAACACAAGGAAUUGAUUGGCCUUGACAAGAAUUCAUCAUGCCAAAGGAAGAAGAAUGUUUCUGAGAAGCCAGAACCUUGUUCAAACAGUGAGAAACGCCCUGCAGAGGCUGUUGGCAUUGACAUCACGGGCAGGUUUAUGACGUCGGGAAAGAAGAAAGCUGUGGUGAUCCGCCACCUGUACACUGACGAGAAGGUUGGCGUUCCUGAAGGGACAGUAACCUUAGCAGACAUCAGUCAAGGCUGCAGUGAGUCAGCAGAGCAGAGUUCUGACAUUCGGAUUCCUGAGGCCCAGGACCCUGAGGUCAAGGCUGAGCUGCAAGAUAUAUGUGAUCAUCCUGAGAUUACCGCACUUCAGAUCGCACUGGCCGAAUGUCAGGAAAAGCUGAAGCAGCUGACUUGGAUAGAGAAACGGCUUGAGCGUUUGGAAGCUGCAACACACGGGAAAGUGAUGGUCGACGAGAAGGCCUGGAACAACCUUCUAAGUCGUGUCACUCUUCUAGAAACGGAGAUGCUGUUGUCCAAAAAGAGUGAAUCUGUAGAGCGUAAUGUGGCAAGUCAAGACUGUGAGUCAAUUAGUGAUGUGGACUUUGUACCCUAUGGUCAGCCGUGAACUCAUGCUGCUCAGCUCCCUACGUGUGUGUAAUUACAAGCAUGCACCACAGAGCCCAAAGGCAUUCUAAAACUUUUAUUAAUUUUUAGCAUCUGCCUCUAUAAGAAAAAUGUAUGAAAAACUCAUUUUAUCUAUACCAGAUAAAAACUACAGUGUGGGGGGAGCAGCAGGCAACUACCGCUCGUCUGGCUGUAGUGCAGUCUCAUCAGAAACAGCACCCGGGAGCUCCAUUGUUAAUUACUGUGUCUUGAGAGAGUUCUCAGAGGUAAGAGAGCCUGUCAACUGCUUCGAUGAUUUCUAAGGUCGAGAAGAAACAAGUACUGUGUUUAUAUAUAGUGUGUAUAGUAGGGUAUGGUAUAGUGUUGGCAAGAACAUGGUGACUUACAAAUGUAAUCUCUCAAGGGGUCUGUGUGUUGACUAGUCUCUGUAGGCAGUGUUCCCCAGUGUGUCUUCUAUAGCCAUGGUCUGUCUUUGAGGAUUGUUUACUUUGAGAAAUUGCCUAAAUUUGUUGCUUUUCAAAUUAAAGGAAACAACUAUCCAGAAAAUGGAAAGGAUGAAAAAAAUGUAAGUAACAGAGAGGGUGAGAGAAGCCAUUGCUCUGUAGGAGCUGCCUUGGAGUGCCGUGUGGGCAGACUGGGCUUGUGUGUUCACACCUUGAAGUCUCCAUCAGCUGUGGCUUUUCCUUCAGACUCAGUGGGUCAUUGCUUUGCUUCCUGUGUGUGUGUGUGUGUGUGUGUGUGUGUGUGUGUGUGUGUGUGUGUGUGCUGAGUCAUUUUGUUGGCUCCCAACAAGUAGUGUAACACACUGUCCACAGAGUUAAUCAUAGUUACAGAGGGCAGAGAUGUUGCUAAUUAAUUCACAUCUUUCUACUUGUGCUGAUUGGUUUCCCAAACCCUUGUGAGCAUGUAGCUGGAUAGUUGGGGACAUUUUCAGUUGUUAGUCCUGCUGGCUUUGGGAUGCUGUUGAUAAAGGAGCACAGUGCUGAUGCUUUCAUUGGGACAGGGGGGCAGUGCAUCUAGUUUUGGCAAAGAGCAGUGUAAAGAAAAUAUAUGAUGAAAUGGUAUCACAAUAUUAUGUACUCUACUACAUUAAAAAAGUACAAAGCUCUUUAACAUUAGCAAACUUCUAAAAUAACUUAGGCUAUGAGGGUUGACUUAUUUAUUUUUUUCUCUCUUCUAUGUGCAUGUAUUAAUGUAAUUAUAUGUAAAAAGAGGAACACUCAGUUUAUCUCAGGGUCAGAAACAAACAAAGUCCUGUCUUCCAUUAUGAGCCCUGCCCUUAGCUAACACAGCAUUUGUUCUGUUCCAGGUUUGAAGAGACAGCAGAGUUACUGAAAUGCUCAAGUCGCUAACUGUAGAAUGUUCUGCAUAAUCGCUCCUAGGACUUUGGCUACUUAUAUAUAUUCUAUAUUUAAGAAUUCUGUAUAUAAUUUUAAUAUACGAUAGUUUUUAUUAAGAAUUUGGAUUCUAUUUGAUAUGUGAGCUUUUUCAUUCUUAAAUAAAUACUUUUAAUAUUUUAAGCUGUAUAUGUGCCGAUUUUCUCUUCCAGUUUUCUUGGCAAAACUUUCUGUCUCAGUAUAUUGCUCUUACAGUGUGAAGUCAUUACAGCACGCUCUGUAGUUUUGUGUUGACAUUCACUGGCAGUGAGCUAGGUAAUAUGUUUUUGAAAGUAUGGGUUGGAAGACAUGGUCUGCAUCUUGCUGGAGAUAGUCCAACUGGGACUUGCAUAUUGUACUCAGGAGGCUCUCAUAUGUACAAUCUUAGCGUAUGUGUUGGUGAACCAGUUGUAACGCUCACUGAAAACUAAACAAAUCUAGUUCUUCAUGGGUAGUCAGUGCUGCUUUAUCACUGCAGUGGUGACAGCGGGCGUCUUCUGUGUGUUUGCUGAGGGAACUGUGUCGGGUGUGUGAAUACUCUGCUCUAUAACCCUAGACCGUCAGCCCCGACCCAGAUGCUGGCCCUCCAUGGGAUAUGCAGUGGAGGUGCUCUGCACUUUCUAAUGAUGGAUCGUUAACAACGUUUAAGGAGAGGAAAGGUCUUAAAGUUAAAGUGAAAGAAAAUCAAAGUCACUGAGAAAGUUACUAUGUGAAUACCUUCUAACGUUGUAAAUGAAUAUAUAGCAAUAGUAAUUCUGGGUAAUAGUCAAAAUUAUAGGAAGUUAUCUUUUUAUUUUUUACAUCAGUCACCUCAUUAUACUGUAUAAUUUUAUUUUAAUGUUAAGUAGAAAAUUAAGCUAUAACUAGAAAUAACUUGAGGAAAACUUUAGUAUUCUAAGAAAUGUUUAAUGUUUACACUUUUAAAGUGUAAUCUUUUAUGUUAGCAUUUAGAAGCAUACAACCUUGAAUUUAGUAACAUUUCCAAAGCAUAUCUAGAAUUCAUGUUUUUUGAAUUUCCAGGUCACUUAAGUUAGAAAAAUGAAGAGAAUUCAGUUGUGAAAUGCUGUUAUGUCCCCAGUAUGAGAACCAGCAUGGACUCACAGCGCCACCUUGUGGUCUCCACGCCACUCCGUUGGCUUUUAAUAAAACAAAUGAAUCCUCAUAAAACUCCAGAUUUUUGAAAAA